RNAcentral lists this small RNA (123 nucleotides) under Enterobacterales bacterium 8AC. Its description in RNAcentral is "RtT". It matches the Rfam family "RtT RNA". From Rfam's summary of the family: This family represents a bacterial cis-regulatory element known as RtT RNA. The exact function of RtT is unknown although it is thought that it may be involved in changing the cellular response in relation to amino acid starvation. Lineage: Bacteria; Pseudomonadati; Pseudomonadota; Gammaproteobacteria; Enterobacterales. The record is from RNAcentral.
AGAUUCCCCGCACAGGGAGGGGCGAGAACCCUCGACAGGGUUCGACAAAAUGGCCUGCCAUUUUGGACGGCCGCAGGCCGCCCGAAGGGUGAGCGUAGCGAAUCAAGCCCUCCCUCACCACCA